This is a transfer RNA of Ovis aries (sheep), 72 nucleotides long. It matches the Rfam family "tRNA". From Rfam's summary of the family: Transfer RNA (tRNA) molecules are approximately 80 nucleotides in length. Their secondary structure includes four short double-helical elements and three loops (D, anti-codon, and T loops). Lineage: Eukaryota; Metazoa; Chordata; Mammalia; Artiodactyla; Bovidae. The record is from Rfam.
UCUCUGGUGGUCCAGUGGUUAAGAAUCUGCCUUGCAAUGCAGAGGACCUGGGUUCAAUCCCUGGUCAGGGAA